This 468-nucleotide ribosomal RNA is filed under the name uncultured bacterium. Its description in RNAcentral is "bacterial SSU rRNA". It matches the Rfam family "Bacterial small subunit ribosomal RNA", at positions 29 to 507 of the family's 1533-position model. The record is from RNAcentral.
AAUGAACGUUGGCGGCGUGGAUUAGGCAUGCAAGUCGAGCGAGAAGGUUCCGUUCGGGAACUGGACAGCGGCGAAAGGAGAGUAACGCGUAGAUAUCUACCCUAAGGACCGGGAUAGCGGCGGGAAACUGCCGGUAAUACCGGAUAACAUCUCCGGAUCAAAGGUGUGAUUCCGCCUUAGGAUGAGUCUGCGUCCUAUUAGCUUGUUGGUGUGGUAACGGCGCACCAAGGCAAAGAUGGGUACCGGGUGUGAGAGCAUGGCCCGGCUCACUGGGACUGAGACACUGCCCAGACACCUACGGGUGGCUGCAGUCGAGAAUCUUCGGCAAUGGGCGAAAGCCUGACCGAGCGACGCCGCGUGCGGGAUGAAGGCCUUCGGGUUGUAAACCGCUGUCAGUUGGGAGCAAAUCUCUUGGGGUUAUCCCCUUGAGUUGAGCUAUCUUCAGAGGAAGUACGGGCUAAGUUCGCG